AUGCGAUAAGUAAUGUGAAUUGCAGAAUUCAGUGAAUCAUCGAAUCUUUGAACGCACAUUGCGCCCGCCAGUAUUCUGGCGGGCAUGCCUGUUCGAGCGUCAUUUCAACCAUCAAGCCCCGGCGCUUGUGUUGGGGACCCGCGGCUGCCGCGGGCCCUUAAAGACAGUGGCGGUCCUCGCUGCAGCACCGAGCGUAGUAGCUAUACACCUCGCCCUGGGAGCUGCGCGUGUCGACCACGCCGUAAAACCCCCCACCUCUCACAAGGUUGACCUCGGAUCAGGUAGGAAUACCCGCUGAACUUAA
RNAcentral lists this unclassified non-coding RNA (304 nucleotides) under uncultured Cladorrhinum. RNAcentral describes it as "partial contains 5.8S ribosomal RNA, internal transcribed spacer 2, and large subunit ribosomal RNA". The stretch from base 1 to 102 matches the Rfam family "5.8S ribosomal RNA", at positions 53 to 154 of the family's 154-position model. The record is from RNAcentral. Lineage: Eukaryota; Fungi; Ascomycota; Sordariomycetes; Sordariales; Lasiosphaeriaceae.